AGAGCGAACGCUGGCGGCAGGCCUAACACAUGCAAGUCGAACGAACUCUUCGGAGUUAGUGGCGGACGGGUGAGUAACACGUGGGAACGUGCCUUUAGGUUCGGAAUAAUUCAGGGAAACUUGUGCUAAUACCGAAUGUGCCCUUCGGGGGAAAGAUUUAUCGCCUUUAGAGCGGCCCGCGUCUGAUUAGCUUGUUGGUGGGGUAAUGGCCCACCAAGGCUACGAUCAGUAGCUGGUCUGAGAGGAUGACCAGCCACAUUGGGACUGAGACACGGCCCAAACUCCUACGGGAGCAGCAGUGGGGAAUCUUGCGCAAUGGGCGAAAGCCUGACGCAGCCAUGCCGCGUGUAUGAUGAAGGUCUUAAGGAUUAGUAAAUACUUUACACCGGUGAAGAUAAUGACUGUAGCCGGAGAAGAACGCCCGGCUAACUUCGUGCCAGCAGCCGAC
This 448-nucleotide ribosomal RNA is filed under the name uncultured soil bacterium. Its description in RNAcentral is "bacterial SSU rRNA". It matches the Rfam family "Bacterial small subunit ribosomal RNA", at positions 26 to 518 of the family's 1533-position model. The record is from RNAcentral.